This 1717-nucleotide long non-coding RNA is filed under the name Equus asinus (donkey). RNAcentral's name for it is "lncRNA (ENSEASG00005028006.1)". Lineage: Eukaryota; Metazoa; Chordata; Mammalia; Perissodactyla; Equidae. The record is from RNAcentral.
UUUUGAGUUUGGAAAAACACCUGGAGAGCACCCUGUCAAGGAGUUUGAGAUGCCAUCCAGCUGGUCCUGGUGCUUGUCCUUGGUGUAGCCACUUAGGGAUCUCUAGGGUCACAGAGGGGCCACAGGCCUACUCAGACACCUGGGGUGGUUCUGGUUGGAGUUCAUUUAACAAUGUCUAUGAAGGACGUACUGUGUGCAGGGCAUCUGGACACACUAAGUGUCACUCAAUAAAUGAAGCAGACAGCCUCACUGGGCCUCCUCUCUAAUCUGAGAGUCAGUCACGCUUGACAUCAUUCCUAGGUCCCAUCUACCCUCCAUCCCGGCCGAUGCCCUCAUCCCCUUUGGGACACAUGGAGGCAGCUUGGCCCAUUGUGUGCAGGAUGCUGGAGGACAGCACCACCUCCCAAAUGCUAUUUCCUGCUGGGAACCUGGCUGGGCCAAGGGCAGGAUUGCAGGGAGCCCCUACAGUUUCCAUGCUGGACCCUGCAGCUGGCCACUCUGCACGUCAGCUUUGGUGGCUUACAUGUGGAGGGCCAUACCUACCUUCUGCCAGGCCACCUGGAGCACCUCAAGGCCAUUGAGGCCAAACAGAAAGAGCCAGCUCCAAAGCUCCUGCCACAUCCAGAGGCAGAGCCAGAGCCAGAACCAGCCCCUGUGCUAGAGUCAUCUCCAGCUCCAGCCCCACCACCCGUGGCAGAGCUGGAGCCAGCGUCACCUGCAUCGGACCCUACAGGGCUGGAGGAAGGGCCACCAUUAACUUCAUCCCCAGUGCCAGCUCCUGAACUAAAGCCCACUGGACCCUGGGCCGUGACCGCCGAAAACCAGCUGAGGGAGGAGAAGCUGAACAUCUUGGACUUCCCUCCCCGGCUCGUGGCAGAGCAGCUGACAAGGAUGGAGGCGGAGCUGUUCAAGAAAUUGGUGCCUGCCCACUGCCUGGGCUCCAUCUGGUCCCAGCGAGACAGCAGGGACCACAAGUACCUGGCACCCACCAUCCGUGACACUGUGGCACACACGAACACCUUGGCCAACAGUGUCAUCGCUACGUGCCUCGGGGCCCUGGGCAUGACAGCGCAGGACAGGGCCAGGAUGGUGGAGCUGUGGAUUCAUGUGGCCAAGGGAGAGAUCCUACACCUUUAAGAAGUGGUGCAGGGGACAGCAGCAUGUGAGCAAGAGACUGUUCCUGAAGGGUGUCAUCCCCUCCCUCAAGAUGAUCUUCAGUUACCUGGAGCUGCUGCAUGAUGAGACAGAUUAUUAUGUGGAGGGGAAUGUGCUCAGCUGUCGGAAUGAGGAAUUCAAAUUCAUCAAGGACAUCGAGAUGGUCCAGAAGGCUGCAAAUCUGUACACCGUGCAGCCCAAUGAGCAUUUUGGUGCCUGGUUCCAGGCUGUGGAGCCCCUGAGUGAGGAGGCGAGCUACAGCCUGUCCUGUCAGCUGGAGCCACAAUACCAGUGGGCCAGAAAGAUUCGACUCUUCUUCAAAGACAAGAAGAGCCACUCAUCUUCCCGCCCAGGGCUGAACACCAGGCCCCCAAAAAAGAGCCCAGCGGUGGUGGCAGAUGACGCUCCUGAGACCAGCUGAACUACAGCAGGGACACUCAGGUACACAGGUCCACCUCUCAGAUGCUGAUGUGAAUGAAAACUUUGUGAUCCAUUUCCUGGGGUCCCUGAAGGCCACAAGGCAGUGGACAAUCUGCCCAUCUCCCUCACACAUUUUCCCCAG